AAACAUGUCUAUUUGAAGGUAUAGAUAGUCUGGUCUGCUCACUGACAUAUAAUGUUUAAGAGCCGCGGUAUUUUGACCGUGCAAAGGUAGCAUAAUCAUUAGUUUUUUAAUUGGGAACUUGUAUGAAAGAUCGGACAAAGGAAAAGCUGUCUUUAUUGUAAGGAUUGAAAUUAACUUUUAAGUGAAAAGGCUUAAAUGUUUCAGGGGGACGAUAAGACCCUAUAAAGCUUUAUAUGUUAAUUGAAUUUGGUUGAAUUAUAAUAAAUGGCUUAAUUGAAUUGUCAUAUUUUAUUGGGGUGAUAAGAGUAUAAGUAUUAUUAACUACUUUAAUUGAAUACAAUGAUAAGUGAGAAGAAAUUAAUGGUCCUUUUUAAAGAUUAAAAGACUAAGUUACUUUAGGGAUAACAGCGUUAUUUCUUUUGAGAGUUCACAUCGAAAAAGAAGUUUGCGACCUCGAUGUUGAAUUAAAAUGUCUAUAUGAUGCAGCAGUUAUAUAAGAAGGUCUGUUCGACCUUUAAAUUUUUACGUGA
RNAcentral lists this ribosomal RNA (530 nucleotides) under Baptozius vinosus. Its description in RNAcentral is "partial 16S ribosomal RNA". It matches the Rfam family "Bacterial large subunit ribosomal RNA", at positions 1827 to 2603 of the family's 2925-position model. Lineage: Eukaryota; Metazoa; Arthropoda; Malacostraca; Decapoda; Oziidae. The record is from RNAcentral.